GGGGGCUUUUUGGAUGAAGACUUCCCAAAGAAAGGGGUAGAUGUCUUCUCUGCAGAUUACGAAGAUAAGGAGAAUUACAUGGAGCACGGCAAGCCGGUAUUUAUUUUUAACCAGUUAGUUUUGAAAGAUUUUGUGUGGAUUUCAUUCAUUUAGUAUUGUAAUUGUUUGAACUUCCUUCCCCUUAACAGAAGAAAUCAUUCAAAUUCAAAAUGCCCCUUGUGCAUCGCAGAGGAUCUAAGGUAUAAUUGAACACAUCAUUUAGGGAAGGGGAGUUUAAAAUAAUUUAACAUUUGUUGGAAUAACUUUUUUUUUUUUUUUUUAGGAUCGGUUUUCAGCUGACCAUCUUGAAAAAGCUUCAGGCCUACAUUUGCCUCAACAUAGCGCGAAUGUAUAUAUAUAUAUAUAUUUUUUAUAUCUGUGUGUUUGUAAACAAAAAGAGCAAUAUAUUGGUGUACAAAAUCUGUGUUGACAUAUUCCUGUGGUGUGUUUUCCAGGAGGGCUUGCUAGACGAUGACUUUCCUCAGAAGGAAGUAGGAUUCAUAUCUGCAGGGGAGAAUGAAGAUGAAGAACAUAAUGGGAUCGAAGACUCCAAACAGGCCCUGGGUUUGGAUGAGAACUCUGAAGAGGAGCCAGAGGAACGUGAUGGGACGGGUGGAUUUGUAUGCUUUGUCUCAUGCUUAACACGUUUAGGAAGUUGACAACUGUUUCGUAUGAAAAAUGUAUCAAACUUCUAUCAUUGAGACUGUUUGCAUCUGUUUUUCUGCACAGAAAAAAAGUAAAGGUGUCAAAAUUAAGUUUGUGCCUCACAGAGGGUUCGCAAUCUGCCUCGAAAAGGAUGAACCAACAGGCGCUCAUGAAUACACACCUCGCAGAGGUUCAAAGAUGAUUCAUGAGAAACCUCUUGAUGAACUUAAAGGUGCCCAUGGUUAUACACCACGCAAGGAGUCCAAGGUUAAUAUUUUUGAGGAAACAGAAGAAGUGAAAGGCUACAUCCCGCAGUCACACCCCAAGCAGAGCUUUUUGGAUGAUUACUUGCCUGAGAAGGGGGCACAUUUCUCCUCAGCAGGAGCGGUAGAAGAAUAUCAACAGAACGUGAUGGAAGACUGCAAACCGAAGAAACCGUUCAAAUUAAAACUCCUACAUAUGAAUCGUCGGAAAUCGGGGAGCGCUGAGGAGAAUUCUCAGACUAGCAGCACACAACAGUACUCCCCACAAAGGAGAUCAGAGGAGGACUUUCUGGACAGUGAUGUGCCUCAGAAGGGAGCAGAUCUCUUCUAUGCUGGACAGAUAGAAGAGGAACAGAACGAGAUGGAAGACUGGAAACCGAAGAAACCAUCGAAAUUUAAGAACCACCUUGCAAGUCGGCGCAAGUCGAGCCAAAUCCAGGAAAUGUUUCCAUAUGAAAAGUCACAGAUUGGUUCCGAGCGCUACACACCUCGACGAGCGUCCCAUGAGGGCUUUCUGGACGAUGACACUUCUCAGAGGAGGUCGGAUCUCUUCUCAGCAGGAGGGCAUGGAGAUUAUUAUGGACAGGAUGAUAUAGAAGACUGCAAACCGAAGAAAUCUUUCAAAUUUAAAGCCCCUCAUAAGCAUCGCAAAGAAACUAAGACUAAAGCGAGAGAUGAAAGGAUGACUGAGUACCCACCAGGAGCCACAUCUAGUGACUACUACUUUUCAGAGGCUGCAGAGGCUGAGUGGCGUUCUGCUCAGAUUGACGAACAGCUUGCAGACGGUCUGGAGGAUGAGGAGGAGGAGGAAGAGGGGGUCAGUAUUUGA
Oncorhynchus mykiss (rainbow trout) is the source of this 1776-nucleotide long non-coding RNA. Lineage: Eukaryota; Metazoa; Chordata; Actinopteri; Salmoniformes; Salmonidae. The record is from Ensembl.